This 516-nucleotide ribosomal RNA is filed under the name uncultured bacterium. RNAcentral's name for it is "bacterial SSU rRNA". It matches the Rfam family "Bacterial small subunit ribosomal RNA", at positions 77 to 578 of the family's 1533-position model. The record is from RNAcentral.
CAAUACCGAAGAAAGUUCAGUGGCGAACGGGUGCGUAACACGUGGGCAAUCUGCCUUAAAGUGNUUNACCCCUCGGCGAAAGCCGGAUUAAUACCGCAUGUGAUUAGGGGAGACAUCUCUCCGAAAUCAAAGGUGGCGAAAGCUACCGCUUUUUGAGGGGCCCGCGGCCUAUCAGCUAGUUGGUGAGGUAACGGCUCACCAAGGCGAUGACGGGUAGCUGGUCUGAGAGGACGACCAGUCACACUGGGACUGAGACACGGCCCAAGACACCUACGGGUGGCAGCAGUCGAGAAUUUUUCUCAAUGGGGGAAACCCUGAAGGAGCGACGCCGCGUGGAGGAUGAAGGUCUUCGGGUUGUAAACUCCUGUCAUUUGGGAACAAUGCGUACGUAUUAACUGUACGUGCGUUGAUAGUACCAGAAGAGGAAGAGACGGCUAACUCUGUGCCAGCAGCCGCGGUAAUACAGAGGUCUCAAGCGUUGUUCGGAUUCAUUGGGCGUAAAGGGUGCGUAAGUGG